This 254-nucleotide ribosomal RNA is filed under the name uncultured bacterium. RNAcentral describes it as "partial 16S ribosomal RNA". It matches the Rfam family "Bacterial small subunit ribosomal RNA", at positions 524 to 776 of the family's 1533-position model. The record is from RNAcentral.
UACGUAGGGUGCAAGCGUUAAUCGGAAUUACUGGGCGUAAAGCGUGCGCAGGCGGUUUUGUAAGUCAGAUGUGAAAUCCCCGGGCUUAACCUGGGAACUGCGUUUGAAACUACAAGGCUAGAGUGUGGCAGAGGGGGGUGGAAUUCCACGUGUAGCAGUGAAAUGCGUAGAGAUGUGGAGGAACACCGAUGGCGAAGGCAGCCCCCUGGGUUAACACUGACGCUCAGGCACGAAAGCGUGGGGGAGCAAACAGG